This 379-nucleotide unclassified non-coding RNA is filed under the name uncultured bacterium. RNAcentral describes it as "contains 16S-23S intergenic spacer region". The record is from RNAcentral.
UCCAGCUUAUCGCCAGCAGUCUCCUGAGAGUGCAUCCUUUCGGAUUAGCAACACAGGACGAGGGUUGCGCUCGUUGCGGGACUUAACCCAACAUCUCACGACACGAGCUGACGACAGCCAUGCAGCACCUCGACUCCCGUCCCUUGCGGGAAAGCCAUAUUUCUACAGCUUUUCGUGAGCCGUUCGAGCCCAGGUAAGGUUUUUCGCGUUGCGUCGAAUUAAACCACAUGCUCCACUGCUUGUGCGGGCCCCCGUCAAUUCCUUUGAGUUUCAGCCUUGCGGCCGUACUCCCCAGGCGGGGCACUUAAUGCGUUAGCGCCGGCACUCAGAGGGUCGCUCCCCCAAGCACCUAGUGCCCAUCGUUUACGGCGUGGACUAC